Molecule: non-coding RNA, 71 nt
Organism: Schistocephalus solidus
Lineage: Eukaryota; Metazoa; Platyhelminthes; Cestoda; Diphyllobothriidea; Diphyllobothriidae
Source: Rfam
GGCCUCGUAGCUCAGUUGGCUGUACUAAAGCCUUCCCCUUGCUGGCGUGGGUUCGAAUCCCACCGAGGCCG